GACGAACGCUGGCGGCGUGCCUAAUACAUGCAAGUCGAACGCAGUGGGGACGGGUGAGUAACACGUGGGUAACCUCCCAUCAGAGGGGAUAACACUUGGAAACAGGUGCUAAACCGAUACUGAUGGACGGGCCCGCGGUGAAUUAGCUAGUUGGUGAGGUAACGGACCACCAACGCCACGAUGCAUAGCGGACCUGAGAGGUUGAUCUGCCAAACUGGGAAUGAGACACGGCCCAGACUCCGACGGGAGGCAGCAGUAGGGAAUGUUCGGCAAUGGACGAAAGUCUGACCGAGCAACGCCGCGUGAGUGAAGAAGGUUUUCGGAUCGUAAAGCUCUGUUGUUAGAUAAGCGGUAUCUAACCAGAAAGCCACGGCUAACUACGUGCCAGCAGCCGCGGUAAUAC
Molecule: ribosomal RNA, 403 nt
Filed under: uncultured bacterium
Lineage: Bacteria
Description: partial 16S ribosomal RNA
Rfam family: Bacterial small subunit ribosomal RNA
Source: RNAcentral